CAGAAGCUAGCGUUUAGAGAAAAGCGGGUUCUUCUUUUAGUCUCCAUUUUUAGAUUUUCAAGUUUCAUUUAGAUUUCAGAAAAAAUCAAAAAAUAAAAAUACGACAAAAUACGCUUCUGCUUCUUCCUUUGAUUCCGAUAUUUAUUUCCAAAAUAUUGAAUUUGAUUGAGUUGAAUAUGUUUUGAGUUUUGUUCGAGGUCAUAGUCGGAAGUUUUCUAGCUGCCGUUCAUGAGUUCCGAUUGCGGUUCGUGUUCAUCUUUGUUGUCGUUUCUCUUUCGUUUGGAUUCUGGAGGCAAUAUCUUAUAUUUGGCGAUUAUUCUAUUGGUGUUAAAGAUAGUCUUGGCUUAGCAGAUUCGAGCCGAUUGGAGUUGGAAAAUCGAGGGAAAGACAUCCUUAUCGAUUGAUUGAGCGAGAUUUGAGAUCCAGGUACUUCCUAUCCGACUAGGUAUCAUUGAACUAGCUAUACACGGAGACUUCAAGGUACAUAUGCCAGCGUCCGCAGACCUCGGAGUCCCCCUCUAUCCUUAUUAUGUUGUCUU
Molecule: long non-coding RNA, 539 nt
Organism: Nicotiana tabacum (common tobacco)
Lineage: Eukaryota; Viridiplantae; Streptophyta; Magnoliopsida; Solanales; Solanaceae
Source: RefSeq, a predicted model, not a curated record